RNAcentral lists this long non-coding RNA (3114 nucleotides) under Homo sapiens (human). Its description in RNAcentral is "HSALNT0354812". The record is from RNAcentral. Lineage: Eukaryota; Metazoa; Chordata; Mammalia; Primates; Hominidae.
UGGGAGGGGGGCAUUCAGUGGAAGCUGCAGACUCUGCAGUCAGACCUGGAUUCAAAUCCCACCACUCAGAGUGUGAUCUCGGGAGGGCCCUUUGCUGCCCUGAGCCUUUUCCCUGUGUGAGGAGUAAACAGGCUGAUGAGUAAGAGGGGUCACCCUUAGUGAGUGCUUUUAUUCCGUCUGUGCCAGGACUUAUCUUGGAUAACAUUUGCAGUGACCUUAUGAGGUAAGGAUGGCCACUUGGAACCCUUGAAGCUGUGAGUCCCCUUGACUUCCUCCCAGGCACUGCCCUCCCAGAAGUGAAGGUACCAGGAGGCAGAGGAAACAGUAGCACCACGGUGCCAUCCUGGAUCCAACGGAGCAGGUGACAGACAGCAGGGGUCACAGGCAGGCCAACUUGGACUGAGGAAAAAAAAGUCGCAGGAAAGCAGCUGGGCAUCCUGCCUUGCUUCGCCCUUGGACUUCUGCAGGGUCCGUUUGCCCUUUGUUUGACUCCCAGACCCCACUGAGCUGGGAACCAACCAGUGGGCUGGAAGCCCAGGAUGGGGUGGCCCACCUAGUAGGGACGACAUUUACUUGCACAAAAGAUGGUCUCCAGGAGCCCCUUCAGGACCGAAGCAGGGAAACACUGUCGCCCUGGAGAGCUGGGAGAGGGGGAGGCAGCAGCAGUCGCUGGCCAGAGAGGGGCGAAACAGAGCUCAGGGUCCCUGCAGCGGGUGGGGGAAGCUCAGGUCCAGGUGGGCUUUGUGUUCCUUGAGGUUCUCCGCCAAGGUUCUGCUUCAUCAGGCCUCUGCCGAGUUCUCUGGCCUCACCUGUCCACCGCUGCUCCGUGCAGCCACCUUUCCCCUGCUCCCCAAGGUGCGUCCAUUUCUGAGUUUCCCUCCUCUGGACCUGUGACCAUGCCAUCCCUCCUGCCUGGACUGCCUCCCAGUCUCUCAGUAGUACCACCUCCAGGUUCAGCUUGUGGUUCCGGCUGGUGGGUGUGCCACAGCCAGACGCUGUGCUCAGCGGGGAUACCCUAACCCUGGGUGAUCUGGGGUCACUCCCGUCAACCUGGGGGGCUCUGCAGGCAGGGAAGAGCCUCCUGGGUCUCUGCUCCAGCCCUGGCUUUACACAAAUGUGCCUGAGAAAACACGGUGUCCUGACACCUGGCCUCAUGCCACCUGGUGACGGCAUCUGAGCCAUCACCAGUGAUCAUUCACCCCUUUUCCCUUUUCCAGACAGCACGAAAAUCCAACACGCCCCUCACCGGAGGACUGGGAGGCUCCCGCGUUUUGGAUUCUGAAAAGCACUCCCUCGUUCACGUCUGCCUGGAUUCGCGCCCUCAAGCCCCCUGGCGCCCACUUUUCUUGCUCUCCAAACACUCGUUGAGGCCCGAGAGGGAGAUGCGAAGUUUGCCCACCACUGCGCGUCCCUCCUCCGCGAGGCGCCAAUGGGCCUGAGUCAGGGGCCUCCCCUUCAUCCGCUGGUCCCUCCCCUGUUCCCAGCUCCAGUUCCUCACCCGCUAUGGCUGGCCUGGCGCCUGUGGCCGUUCACCGUCUGCGAGGCAUCUGCGGGGACUGAAGUCGGGGAGGCAGCGGCGGGCUCUGGCAGAUACCAGGAGAUCCCGCCCCUCGGCCCGGGAGACCCCGCCCCUCGGCCACGCCCCUUUCCGCUCCCCACCCCGCCCUCUUGGGCCCCCCACCCGGCCCAGCCAGACAGAGACCUGCCUCCAGGUGGGUGGGAGGAGACCUUCAGUCCCUCGCCCCGGGCCUGUUGUCACUACCUCCCCCAAACACAUUGGUUAAAGUCACCCGAUUAGAAGGGGCCACCUGUGAGACUUGGAUCCAAAGCAAACUAGCGGAAGCUGAAGGGUCUUGGGGCUUCCCAGGCCUCUCGGAGGCCGGGAUGGUCGUGGAGGAGGGAGCGCUCAGUGCCUGGCCUACUGCCUGCCCUGAGCCGGCUCCCUACAGGACGCUUCUCCUGUACCUUCCACCUGCUGCGAGGAAGGGCUGGGGGCAGGCGUACCCAUUUUCCAGAGGAGAACUGAAGGCUCUCACCCCGGGUUAGGCCAGUGGCCGGAGGCAGAGCCGGGCCUUGAACCUGGCUUUCUGGAUCUUCAUCCAGGCCAUUCUAAAGGGGAUCACAGUUUCCAGGAGUCACUCCUGAAGAUGGUCAAGUACCAUGGAGGGGCAGGGCAUCCAUGGACCCUGAUUUGAGGCCCCGGAGCAGUUGGGACUGGUUUGGGCCACGGCUGGCCUAAUCUCCCCUCCACAGAGCCUGGGCAUUGUCCAGUUGGCAGCCAAGAGCCAUCUAUCCACUUUACAGCGGGCAGCUUUGACAGGCUGCUUGUUUCCAAGGACAAAGCCUGCAGGCUGUGGAAUGUUGAGAAUCACCUCUUUCUCUCAGGGACAUAAAGCAUGGCUGUGAGAGAGAUUUGUGAGUGUUGGGGUCACUGUAAUUACUCUCUGAGGGUGCCUGUCUUGAGCUCUGUAGACAAAGUGGGAUCCCUUCCCCUCUCUCAUACCCCUACAAACUUUGGGCCUCGAGUAUCCAGGAUGGGCCCAGAACCAGCACUGGCACAGCCUCCUCUCUGGCCUGAUCCAAGCCCUCUCCCACACAGCAGUCAGGCUGAUCUUCCUAAAAUUUCCGUCUAUUGAGCUUACAUUAAAAUAAUAAUAAUAAUAAUAAUAAUAAUAAUAAUAAUAAUAAUAACAACAUUUCUGUCUGAUUUUGUCUCUCCUCUGCUCAAAAUCCCUCUGUGGAUCCCUAGUGCCUCCAGGAGAAAGUCCACCCUUCCUCUCACGGCUCACCCAAUCUACCCCAGCCGUGGCUCCUCCCUCACUGUGCCUCUUCCCCUUACCUUCUAGCCAGAGUGAAAUCCCCAGGCCUCUGCGUGCACCAUUCCCUCUGCUUAGGAAUAGGCAGACCUGCCCCCAGGUCUUUUCUGGUUCAUUUCCACUUAUCCUUCAGGUUUCUAGGAUGCUUUCCCUGACCUCCACUUAAAUUGGCUCAGGAGUUCCCUGAUCUCCACAAAUGUCAGGAACUUGUCCACCCGCCUGCCCCCAGCACCCAGGUUACACCUGACAAAGUAAGCGCUUUGGAAUGCUCCAACAGACCUAGUCAUACCAUACCCGG